CCUCCUUCUUCUGUCUUAGCUCAUUCCCUUCCAGGUAGCGCCCCUCCGAGACCCUGGAAUAACUUGAUUGCGGGUGGGUUACUAACCCCUAGACUGAGUAGCCCACCCAACGCAAUCCACAGUGGCGCCCGAACCAGUGACUCGGAGUACGGUCAGCUAUCGGACGACACGCGCAGUCCCGGGACAACAACAAGAAGAAAAAUGAAGGUUCUGCGGCUGUAGUACUCGGACAGAUGGCAGAACGGGAGGUAGGCGCAGGUUCACGUCGUCCCACAAGGGGUGAGACAAUCACUUUCAAAGGAAGAAAAAUUCAUACAGGAAUUUAAACAUUCACUCAGGGACAGAGGAGUAAGAGUCAAAAACAGAGAUCUAUGUGUUUGCUUUAUGUAUAUGUCUUUAACUCCCUGCCACAUGGAGCAAAAGCUGACAGGCAGGUUUGCUAUAAAGGAGUCUAGACUCAAAAAGCUGCAGCUGCAUGUAAAUAUGCUUCUUUUCCAUUUCAAAAAUCUUGCUUCUUGGUCAAAAAUCUUUAGUUUGUAGGUGUAAAAGUUUAUAUCUAAGGUAGAUUAAGUUCAGUACUGUGUUUCUGUAGAAAAAGUUUUAAGGUCAAAGAUUGUGAUGCAUUCAGAGGAUUUUUAGAAUUGUUUAGGCUAUCUGAGUUUUUAUUUCUUUAUUAUAAGGUUGGGGAUUGUUCUUUUGAGUUCUGUAUUGUUCUUUUGAGUUCUGUGAAAAGUUUUGCUAUAAUUUUAAUGAACAUUUACAUAAAAUCUGUAUGUGAGUUCUGUGAGAAAUGUUGCUAUAAUUUUUAAUGGACAUUUACACUGAAUCCGUAAACUGCUUUCAGUGAAAUUGUCAUUUUUGCUGUGUUUCUUCUGCUUUCGCAAGAAAGUAGGGGAUCUUUCAAGAUUUAAAAUUCUUAUCCGACAAGUUUUUCAUUUGUACGGCCCGCUCUUGGGUGGGAGUCGUAAUGUUUCAGCUUGAGGUUCUUUCCUGCUGCCAGGUGUUGCUUCAGGCCUCUCACUAAAUUUAUCAAGGGCCAGAGUUAUACUCUUAGCAAGUGAUAAUGGUUAAAAGUAAAAAACAUUUCGGCCUUCACAGGCAGAGAUGACGGGACAAAAAACUUCUGUCCUGCUUGCUUGGAGUUGCUCCGGGAUGUUUUGUGGUAUUCAUGGAUAUUUUAAAAGGAUGAUGUCUCAUUUAUCCUAGGUGUAAAAGAGAUACCUUUGGGUUAUUUUUAGAUUCUGGCUAUGAUAAAGUUCUGCUCUGGGCAUGGCAGAGCACGUGUCCUUGUGGUAUGGUUAAACAACUUUGUAUUUAGGCCCAAAAGGGGUACUGCUAAGUUUUGAGGUAGAUAUCUGCCUAAUUUUACAUAAUGGAGGUCCCUCACUGCUGGGGAGACUCUCACUCAGGUCUUGGAAGGGCGCGGCCCCCCCAUGGCUCACCAAAGACCGUCCUUGCUGAGGUCGCUUACACGUGGCCUUGGUUGGUGGGGGAGGAGUUCGACCCCCAGUGACCGGAAAAAAGAAUUUUUGAGAAGACCACAGCCCGGUGGUCCAGAAAGGUCAUAAAAAUUUCAAAAACCUACGGAGGCUCCCUGCCUCUCGGGACCACUCCCAGGGUCAUAAUCAGCUAGUUCCUAAAACAGUACUGUGAUAAUUGCAGCUGGAAAACUAGUUUUUCAGGAUUGCAGUUUCUCGGGGAUUGCUAUCAGGAUUGCAGUCUUCAGUCAGUUCCUGGUGCAGGGUUGCUGAACAGGCUAGCCCUGGAUUUUUGAUUCUCCUCUUCCUGCUGGGGGGGCUGGAGAGAUGGCUCAGUGGUUAAGAGCAUUGCCUGCUCUUCCAAAGGUCCUGAGUUCAAUUCCCGGCAACGUGGUGGCUCACAACCAUCUGGAAUGAGGUCUGGUGCCCUCACAGGCUAGUCCUGGAUUUUUGAUUUUUCUCUUCCUGCUGGGAGAGUCUGGAUUUCUCCAGGUUUUUCAGUGCUGUAUGUGAUUCAGGGAUGGCUGUGCAGUAUGUACUUCCAACACUGCUCCCAGCGCCGCAGCUGCCGCCACGGGCUGCAGCUCACUUCCAGCGAGUUUUUUUCCUACCCACGUUUUCUUAAGCAUAGAUUGUUAACAAUAAUUUUUAAUCUUGGUCAUUUUUACAAGGAUAAGGUAAAUCUCAGAGUUUUGAUUUGCCUUUCUCUGACGGCUAAAGGAUGUUAUAUUCAAACAUUUUUUAGGUGUCUCUCAGUCAUUUUUGAGUUCGUUUGUUGAGAGUUUAUCAGUUUAGGUCUAUAACAAAUAUUUUUAUUGGAUUAAAUUUUUAAUAACUAAUUUCCUGAGUUCUUCAUAUAUUUUUGGAAUGAGUUUAUGAUAAGUAAAGAUCUUUCUGCACUCUAUAGCCUUGUUAUACAAAAGGUUCUCAACUCAGGAGAUAUAAUUUAUGGUUUCUCACAAUGUUUGUGCCACUGAGGCUAUGUUUACAAUGUGGCAAGGUGUACUUCAAAAAUUUUUCUCUGUGAGGUUCAACAUAAAUUUUUAUAUGCUAAAGCCUUUGGCUCAUUUGGGCUUAAAUUUUGUUCAUGAAGAUGGAUAUAGAUCUAUUUUCAUUCUUCUACAUGUUGGUGUCUAAUGAGACCAGCAUUACUAGUUAAAAAAAACUUCAUUUUUCCAUUUUCCUAUUUGCAAGGCAGACUUGCAGCUUAAGAGGAGGAUAGCUUACAAACUUUUGGAUGUCCAAUGGUUAAAGCCCUACUUAUAAUGUUCUUAUGAGAGAUAUUGAGCUGCUAGGUAAAAUUCUUACAAAAAACAGUUUCCAAUAGAGAGCUUAAAACAAGUUGCCUAGCAGGUACUCAAACAGGUAAAGUAUACAAUAAUCAACAAAUACAGUAUAUUAAUUAUAAUUCAGCUAUGGCAAAUAUGUAUAUUAAAUGUAAAACUUAUUCUACAACAGUUUUAUAAAAAAUGCUGUUUAUGGCUAAACCUUCUCAGUUUUGCUAGUUAAAAUAUUAAACUCUUAAUUUAAAACAGUAGCCUGUCUGGUACAAAAGGACAGGAUAACAUCUGGAAAAUGGUUUAAUAGAAUAUUGACUAUGAUCAAAGUUUCUUAUACUAAAUAAUAGAUUCAUUGAUAAUUUUAAGAUUGAUUCCUGGACAAUUGCCUUUGCUCAAUUCAAGGCCAAAAACGAUUAUCUUUUCCCAGAUCAUUGCCUGUAUUUUGCUAAUGUUAUGGCAAAAAAUCCCUUAAAGGAUUUUAUGCUAAAAUUUUACAAAUGGCUCUUCCAAUGGAGGAACUGCAUAUAUGGUUAAUAAAAAAAAUUGUGGAGUAUAACAAGGCUCCUUCAAAGCAGCUUAUGAGAGUUGCAAGCAGAUCCUGAUGCAAACGGAUCUGGCAUGAUAACACCAAGCAGACCUUUGCUAAGGCAAGGUGGAAAAGCCCUUGCAAUGCAUUAUGAAAAAACCCGACCUAUAUAUAUUUGGGGUCGAGGAUGUGUUUAUGUUUUUUCACAGAAAGAAAAAAUCUGGACUUGAGUCGUGGCUGCAGACAUCCCACAGAGGAGUUCCAGAGAUGAUUGCAGAAAGGUCCUUGGUCCGGCCUUCCCUGCCCCCAAGGAGAAGAGUGCCUGAUAACAGAACCUGCUACGCCACUCUGCAGGGUGUCAUCCUGUCUCCAGAGUCCAGCCUGAGAUAAGUGCGAGGAUGUGCUUCAGAUAGCUGAAUCCAGCUCACCUCACCCAGGAAUUCCACCUGCCCUGAAGUACAAAUGCUAAACUGCUUCUACAGUUUGAACUCUGGUUUGCUUUGAAGCUAAGAUACAGACCAAACAUCAGACUGUUUUAAUCUUUGGGACACAAAACUCAUUUUAAUUAAAAUAUUAAUGCCUCUUCACUUAAGAAGGGGGAAGAUUGGGGUUCCUGUCACUGUUGCUCAGAGACUGGAACUGGUGGUAUUUGUUAACAACAAUGUAUGUCAUUGUACUCUUACUGAAAUUGAUCUAAUGAUAUUUGUAACUGCUUAUAGAGGCUGGAAAAGGUUUGACACAUGCUGUGAAAUGUUUGGGUUUAGUGCAUAUGUUAAAAAUUUUAGAUAUAGAUCCCUUUACACUGCACUAAUUUUUGGCAAACAGCACUCAUAAUUUUAAUGUGGAGUAGGCAUUUAGGAAGGAGGAUACCUUAGGCCAGACUAAAAGGUGAAUACUGGGUUUGGAAAAAGCCCUUUCUUCUUGUCUGGAAGAUGGAGUUAUUGGUGCCCAAAAUUAUAUCAUUAUAUCUUUUGUUUGAGGAGCUCCUCACAGUUUUUCAUUAAUGAUAGACUCAGGCGCCCAAUGACGGGAGUUAGUGUGGAUCCUCACCUGAAUAGCACACCAUACAGAGGCUGUAAAGGCCGGCUCAACAUGGCAUGGUGCCAGGUACGAGGAAAGCUCUCCACACAGCCUAAGACAGGAUGCCCUGUGGUCUGCUUACUUUAACUCUUGCUAGAUACCUUUUAUUUGAGAAGCUCCAAGGAACUAAUGCUAAUCAUAAGGCACCCCUCUGUUCCCAUGAGAGGUAAAUUGCUUCACCAUUCGAGAGGAGGGUUUCUACUUGUCCCAGUCCCUUCUCUUUUAAAUCUGACACCAGGGUUGACUCUGACUUAGUGCCCUCCACUUAAUAACUGUUUGCCUUUAUAUAAGAGAGGGGGAAUAUGUCAGGAGCCAUUUCCCCCCUAACAAUCAUUACAGAAACCAUCACUCUAGGGAGUCUGCAGAGAACCUCACACCCAUAGUUAUGUUCUAUUGACAAAACCUGCCCCUCACCCAAUUAACUGCUAAUCUUAGCGGAACCCGCCUCACAUUCCAGCUAUCCAGGGAACCAGGUGUGGCCACUUGUGACUUCUGGCCUGUCUGUCUGAAUGUAACCGAGCUACGUGACCGGAACCACGCGGCCUGCGAGAUCCCGUACCCUGCCCCUCAUCCCUUACCAUAUAUAAACUGUAACCCGUCCCUAAUAAACUGAGGCCUUGACAAAGUU
Long non-coding RNA from Alexandromys fortis (reed vole), 4992 nucleotides. RefSeq lists it as uncharacterized. The transcript has 2 exons. Lineage: Eukaryota; Metazoa; Chordata; Mammalia; Rodentia; Cricetidae. The record is from RefSeq and is a predicted model, not a curated record.